This 349-nucleotide long non-coding RNA is filed under the name Homo sapiens (human). Its description in RNAcentral is "non-protein coding lnc-BEND7-5:9". Lineage: Eukaryota; Metazoa; Chordata; Mammalia; Primates; Hominidae. The record is from RNAcentral.
UGGUUUGUUUGGAGUAUGUCAUUCUUUUCUUUCAUGCUCAGGAGAACUUCCAGUGGUGAAUUCAUCAGCUGGAUCAAACUGCUGUACUUGUAACUGCCAGUCAACGUUGCAGGCCAUUCUACAAGAACUCAAGACCAUGAGGAAAUUAAUGCAAAUUCAAGCAGUUGGAACUCAAAACAGACAACAACCUCCAAUUUCCCUUAUAUGCUCCCAGCGAACUGCUGUCUCACGAAAGAGAAAUAAAAAGAAAAAAGUGCCCCCAAAGACUGUGGAACCUCUUACUGUGAAACAGAAGCCCAGUGGGUCAGAGAUGGAGAAAAAGUCGGUGGUGGCCUCUGAGCUAUCUGCU